RNAcentral lists this ribosomal RNA (495 nucleotides) under uncultured bacterium. RNAcentral's name for it is "partial 16S ribosomal RNA". It matches the Rfam family "Bacterial small subunit ribosomal RNA", at positions 28 to 523 of the family's 1533-position model. The record is from RNAcentral.
GAUGAACGCUGGCGGCGUGCUUAACACAUGCAAGUCGAACGAAGCACCUUGAUUUGAUUCUUCGGAUGAAGAUCUUGGUGACUGAGUGGCGGACGGGUGAGUAACGCGUGGGUAACCUGCCUCAUACAGGGGGAUAACAGUUAGAAAUGACUGCUAAUACCGCAUAAGACCACAGCACCGCAUGGUGCAGGGGUAAAAACUCCGGUGGUAUGAGAUGGACCCGCGUCUGAUUAGGUAGUUGGUGGGGUAACGGCCUACCAAGCCGACGAUCAGUUGCCCAACUGGGAGGGUGACCGGCCACCAUUGGACUGAGAAACGGCCCAAACCCCUACGGGGGGCAGCAGUGGGGAAUAUUGCACAAUUGGGGAAACCCUGAUGCAGCGACGCCGCGUGAGCGAUGAAGUAUUUCGGUAUGUAAAGCUCUAUCAGCAGGGAAGAAAAUGACGGUACCUGACUAAGAAGCACCGGCUAAAUACGUGCCAGCCGCCGCAGUAA